RNAcentral lists this ribosomal RNA (467 nucleotides) under uncultured bacterium. RNAcentral describes it as "partial 16S ribosomal RNA". It matches the Rfam family "Bacterial small subunit ribosomal RNA", at positions 28 to 507 of the family's 1533-position model. The record is from RNAcentral.
GACGAACGCUGGCGGCGUGCUUAACACAUGCAAGUCGAACGGAAAGGCCCUGCUUUUGUGGGUGCUCGAGUGGCGAACGGGUGAGUAACACGUGAGUAACCUGCCCUUGACUUUGGGAUAACUUCAGGAAACUGGGGCUAAUACCGGAUAGGAGCUCCUGCUGCCUGGUGGGGGUUGGAAAGUUUCGGCGGUUGGGGAUGGACUCGCGGCUUAUCAGCUUGUUGGUGGGGUAGUGGCUUACCAAGGCUUUGACGGGUAGCCGGCCUGAGAGGGUGACCGGCCACAUUGGGACUGAGAUACGGCCCAGACUCCUACGGGAGGCAGCAGUGGGGAAUAUUGCACAAUGGGCGGAAGCCUGAUGCAGCAACGCCGCGUGCGGGAUGACGGCCUUCGGGUUGUAAACCGCUUUCGCCUGUGACGAAGCGUGAGUGACGGUAAUGGGUAAAGAAGCACCGGCUAACUACGUG